AAGAUUUUAAGUUAAAGAAACUAUUAACCUUCAAAGUUAAAAUUAAAAACAUAUUUAAAUCUUA
Molecule: transfer RNA, 64 nt
Filed under: Hackeriella veitchi
Lineage: Eukaryota; Metazoa; Arthropoda; Insecta; Hemiptera; Peloridiidae
Description: tRNA-Trp
Source: RNAcentral